GCAAGUCGAGCGUUUUCACGAUAAGCUUGCUUCUCUGAGUUAGCUGCGCAUCGAUGAGUGACACGUGGAUUACCGACCUAUAAAACUGCUAGAACUUCGGGAAACCGGAUCUAAUACCGGAUAAUAUUUUGAACCGGAUGGUUCACAAGUGAAAGACAGUCUUGCUGUCACUUAUUCAUGGAUCCCCGCUGCGUUAUCUACUUGGUAAGGUAACGGCUUACCAAGGCAACGAUGCAUAGCCGACCUGAGAGGGUGAUCGGCCACACUGGAACUGAUACACGGUCCAGACUCCUACGGGAGGCAGCAGUAGGGAAUCUUCCGCAAUGGGCGAAAGCCUGACGGAGCAACGCCGCGUGAGUGAUGAAGGUCUUCGGAUCGUAAAACUCUGUUAUUAGGGAAGAACAUAUGUGUAAGUAACUGUGCCCAUCUUGACGGUACCUAAUCAUAAAGCCACGGCUAAUUACGUGCCA
Molecule: ribosomal RNA, 470 nt
Filed under: Staphylococcus aureus
Lineage: Bacteria; Bacillati; Bacillota; Bacilli; Caryophanales; Staphylococcaceae
Description: bacterial SSU rRNA
Rfam family: Bacterial small subunit ribosomal RNA
Source: RNAcentral